This 4302-nucleotide long non-coding RNA is filed under the name Canis lupus familiaris (dog). Its description in RNAcentral is "lncRNA (ENSCAFG00845016985.1)". Lineage: Eukaryota; Metazoa; Chordata; Mammalia; Carnivora; Canidae. The record is from RNAcentral.
GUAUUUUGCCCAUAUAUACCUGCAAUAAUUACUACAGAAUGUAACUACCACAUGGGAGACUGUUUUUAUGGGAAAAUUCACUCAAGAAAUUCUGAGAUAAUAACAUCUGUGACCUCCUAGGGACAAGUCUUUCCUGGUAUAAUGAUAGAAGGGUCUUCUUUUUGGUCACUUUCCACAACAUGUGUCAGGCCAGCCCUCUAAAGUGAAGAGCAGGAUCUAAGAUUAACCCUGAGGUGUGGAUAUGGGAAGAGUGAAGAACAGAGUAGGGGAUAUAUAAAACAGUGGAAGAUUGGGGAGAACAAGCUUAUGGGGUGGGGAGGGGGGGCACAGAAGUGGAGACUAUGGACCACCAGUAAACAGUGAGUACCUGAAGCAUAACAGAAGUAAGAACCAAGAAAUUGGGGAAAGAGGAGGAAAUUAGGAAACUAGAAGGCAAAGGGUUAGCUUGGUCUCAUUUUCCUUCCCUGCAGUACUAACAAACAUCCUGCCCAACUAUGAAAGCCGCCUCAAAAUCAUAAUACUUGAAUAACAGGGGCAUCACCGGAUGUAGGAUCGAUAGUCUGAAGGUCAAAGGACAAGCCCCAGUUCUCCCAUUUACCAGCUGUGUGGCCUUGGCUGAGUUACUCCAACUCUCUGAGCUCUGGCUCUCUACCUAAAAAGUGGGUGACACUAAUGGCCCCAGACUUAGAUGGUUAUUUUGAGGAAUAAAUGAAGCUAUGUGUGUGGAAUACAGAAUGUAAGCUCCACACAGGUAGAGAGUUUGUCUUGUUCACUGCUGGAUUCCCAGUGCUUUAGGCAGUUCCUAGUACUCUUCAAGGGGUAAACAAAGGAUUAAUGAAUAAAUAGGAAAAGAUUUGUAAGUGGGGUGGCAUUUUAAAAUGCCUAAUCCAUGGGUUGUCUGCCGCUAAUUAAGCUACUCUAAUGGUUACAAGAAAUGAAGAUUAUAGAAGAGUGAAGUUGUCUGAACUCGAGUCCCAACGCUGGCACUCACCAUUUUUGUAACCACAGGCAAAUUUUGGCCUCAGUUUCUUUUUCCAUGAAAUUUGUGUAAUUCUAAGUACUCACUCAUGGGAUUACUAUGAAGAUAAGACAAGAUGCAAAGCAAUUUGUGCCUGGCACACAGUAAAUGCUCAGUAAACAUUAGGUGCAAUGACGAUGGUGAUAACUUUGCUACUGAGGGCAGUUCUCAGCACUCCAGGAAGAUUUUAAGCUACCCAGAGACAAAAUCAUCCUCUGCUGUUGCCAAAGCUGGAGCAUGAAGCGGUGCUCUUUGUGAAUCUUCUCUAGCCAUCUUAGAAGGGUGUGUGUGGCCCCAAGUCUGGCAGGGACAGAGCUGAGCAGAGCUGUUCACAGCAAAUCUGUGAUGAUGAUCUUCUCAUCUGUCUUCUAAGCUGUGGGCGGCUCCUUCUUUGGGAAGCAAGUUAUAAUCAGAACUUGGAACAAGCUACCUUCCAAACAAUGCUCUCAUUGCCUUUUCUGCCAUUUAAUUAAUGCCAGUCUAAUUUUAUAGAAAGUAUCUAAAUAUGACUUAUGCAUAUUUGUACCUAUAUUUUUCUGUAAGUCCUGCCAUGAGGUAUAUAUCCAUUUAAAUCCUAUCCUUCUGAUAAAUAUCUCUGGCCUGAAUACUUAACAUUAUUUUUUAGAAUCGCAUUUUAGGGAACUUAGCAAGUAGAGGGAUGGAUAUUGCUCAAGCCAACCCGCAAGUUAUCACUGACCAGGACCAAAAGGUGAACCUCUUAUUUCUUCCAGAUUGUAUUUGGCUGUGGGGAUUUAGGUAAAUUUCAGCUGAUGGUACUCAAGAUCCCCUUUGCUCAUGCUUUCCUUCCAGUUUUUGUCAAUCUAACUCAAGAAACAGCAGUCCAUGGGCUGCCACUGGAAGGUUAUGAGGAUAAUGAUCCAUGCAUUCUGUUUUUAACUUUCUUUUUAGUACGUAUACAUUUAACUCAGGCCAUGAUUUAAAUACAUUCAAAUCCUGAAAGAGUUGCACCAUCACCCUUGCAGGUUUAGCUCAGAUCAACUGGGUGUAGUGGAGUGACUUUGCUGAGCUUUUCUCUGACUAAAUUUGCACUGUGUCUGUAAGUAAGCAUGUGCACCAGCAAGCUGAUUUUAUUAGAACUUUGAAGACCUAGUAGAAAAGCUCCUUCUUUUUACCAAACAUGGAUUUAAAAAAUUACACAGAAAUCAGCAUUGUCAAGUCACAUGAAGUGCAAUUAUAAGCAGAAGGCUUGAAACCUGUUUUUGCUUAAAGCAUUUAUUUGAUUUAGCAAAAACAACAGCAAUAAAUUGUAUUCGAAAGCACUUUUGAUCCCUUGCAACAGUAUUAUUACGAAGAACAGGGUCUAUAUAGUAUCCUCCCUUUUUCGUUUGGGUCCGUUUUCCAAAGCAUCCAAAUCUGUGUUUACAAUUCUGGAGACAAAGGAUUAUUCAGACUCUAGUUAGUGCCCAGUACUUGGAAAUUGGUAUUAUGAGACAAUUAUUAUUACACUGACUUUACAUUUUUAUUUUCUUGAAAUCUUCCCAGAGAUUCCAGAGCAGAAUCCUAGAGAUUAAAACGCAAAAAUACAUCAAUAAAAUUUUUAACACAAACAUUACUGAAAUGUUCUGUCUCCCUCCUGAAAUUUUUGGGUUUAUUUCAUCUUUUCCCCUUAUUCUUCUUUUCCACAAUAAUCCUUUUAACAUUUUGAGACCCUAGGUGGUCGGUGCCUAUAAUCAAUAAAUGAUAAUAACAGGACAGUAAGUUGAGGACUACAUCUUUGGCUCCAAGUUCACCAUACGAAUAAUUCUUGAAUGGCUAUAAUUCUGUUUGAUUUUUUUUUUUCUGAUGUAGUCCUGUCAUGUAAGACCUAUGCUGCAUUGAUUCUUUCCUCUUCCUUUUGCUAAAUUAUCACUCCACAAAUAGAUGACUUUUAACAUUGCUCCAAUCCUUUGUUUAACUAACAUAAAAUCAUUAUUUAGGGUCUACGUGAUGGAGGGUACAUGCCAGUUACAAAACUGUCAUUUUGCUUUUGUUUUGUUUUGUUUUGUUUUCCAACAACCUUAUCAGGAAGUCAAGGCAAAUGGCGGAGUCUCUGUUUUAAAUGAUGACUCUGAAAUGUGGACAGGUUAAGUGGUUUGUUCAUGGUUACCUAGUCAGUGACACGGCAGCAGAGGGAUUCAGGUCUCCUGAAUCUACACGGGUACAAGAUUCUCUUUAUUACCCUGCACAAAAUGGUAAUUGUCAGAUUAGACAAACUCUAAGUAGAAGGUUGGCCAAUUUUGUGACGAGAUGGCUAUAGUAGCAAAGGAUACUUGUCCCCUUAAGUUUAUUAUGGCAGGGCUGGACAGCUAGCUCCCUGGACACUCUCUGGAAUUAGUCUUAAGGUGUGAUGGUGAUUUCAGGCAUGCUAGAAUUUAGCAUCAGAGACCUGGGGAGGUCCAGGUAGUGGACUGGAAUAGCUGCAGCUAUUAAAUAUCUAGGUCAUCUUUUAUAGAGGGUUGUAAUAUAUACUCUAGCUUCUGAUUUCAGUGCUGCCAGGAAGGAAAAAAAAAUCCAUCUUGCUAAAAUGUAGUCAGACAGCAGUUUGUCUUUCCAAAACAUUAUUAGGUAUUAUUACAGAAUGUGAACACCUUUCAUUCCUGACAAACAGGAAAUGUAUGCUGCACUACUGGUCUGUCAAUCAGAGUGAUAGCAUCAAUUUUAUGGUUUUUAAUUCAUCCCCACCUCCUGCCGAGCCUUUUGCUCAUCCAAAAUUAUGAAUCUUAAAAGGUACGUGAUUAAGAAGAAAAAAAAAAUAUGUCUCUGCCUGUGUGAACUCCCUUGUGAAGAGCUUGGAGGCAGAUAUUUAAGAGAUUUGUAAAGCGUGCCCUGACCGCGCAAUGAUUUGGACGAGUGACUUACAUUUCCUGCAGCUGGGAGUGCCCCCUCAUGCUUUUGCUCUAGUAUUUUGCUAGCAGCUCAAGCAAAGAUUUUUUUUUAUAUGCAUUGACACCUUUACAUUUGUUAAGGAGCAGAGAGAAAAUAAAUAACGUAUUAAAUGCUGUAUUUGUCAGUUCAUGAUGCUUCAGUUACAUUUUCAAUUUAAGUUUUCAGAGUCUGGUUCUUUAGCUGUGGUCUUUUGUUGCUUUUGAUAUAUGUGAAAUAAUAAAUACAAAGCCAAUUCUGGAGCUUAGCUUUGAAUGCAUCAGAGCAAUUUUUCUUACAGUUCUUUUCUUUCCACCCCUUAACUCUUUUCUUCAGCAUGUAAUGAACAUGAAGAGCAUUGCUAGUGUCAGGAGGAAGUGAGGCUGUUUAUAAAUAAAUAAAUAAAUAAAUAAAUAAAUAAA